This is a long non-coding RNA of Canis lupus familiaris (dog), 865 nucleotides long. RefSeq lists it as uncharacterized. Lineage: Eukaryota; Metazoa; Chordata; Mammalia; Carnivora; Canidae. The record is from RefSeq and is a predicted model, not a curated record. The transcript has 3 exons.
CCCUGGGGCGGCGGGGUCCUGUGGCUGCGCUCGCCCCGCCCCCUUGCUCCGUAGGGGGCCCUUCCCGGGCCUCCGCUCCCCGCUCCCCUGCAAUCGUAGAGGAAGGGGAGACGGGGCGGGGGUGCGGACAGAAAGUCAGCCAGCCUGACAUUUUUAACAGACCCCCCCCCCCCCGCCCCUCCGAUUGCGCUUACAAGCCUCGUCUUCCUGUGCUGACCGCAUGGGUGGGGGUCACCACUGGGAGGACCGGGGAAUGCAUAUCGUCACAGGCCACACCGAGGUCCGCGCCCCCCCAGGGAGGAGACUUGUGUGACUGCCUCACCAGAGGGAAAAAGCUGCUCCCUGGGAGGUGCAGGAACAUCAGGAUAUAUUGGGGACCUCGAGAAGAGGAAUCCACCCACAUCAGCAUCUACAGUCUCUCCACUUGGUGCUGAGACUCCUUGGCUGCCAUAACUUCAAGCCAACAGAUGAUCCCUUCCACUCGGGAAGAUCCACACAUGUGGUCUCCUUUGGAUUCAGCUGCCUCUGCUUUCAUAACUCCUAAUCUAUAUAAGCCCCAACUGGCUCAUGUUGACCCAUAGGCAGGGACAUCUCUAUGCCCCUAUUCAGCAGGAAGAAGUUACAGAAGAUGAGACCUUCCACCCUCAGCAACUUUCAAGAUUUAAGGGUCAAAAUUGGUCAGGGGGGAAAGACGUGGGAAACAAAGACAGAAGAAAAAUUAUGCAAUCUCUUUACUACCUACAGCCUAUUGACAAGUCCUUGAAACAGGCAGAGUGACAUUUCUCUAGCGAUUCAACUGUCUCCAUGUUAAUACUUUGCUAAGGGCAAAAGGCAAUCUUAGCCCAAUCCCCAGGACUCUGUGAGU